UCACAAGCGACUGCUCGUAGGCUCGACACGGGCCUCUUGAAAGCCCAGUCUUGAAGGCGGUCCUGAGCCUCCCAUUCAAUACACUCCUAAUAACCACCUUUCAGAUAGAUGACUGGCAGACUUGUCCUGUAGUUCAAGAUACGAACGCUGACCUCCAACGCCGUUUGAUGAUGAUGACAAGGUGAUCAGUGGUUCUGAUACCGUACAUAACCUCCUCGACCUGCCCUAUAUGCCCUCUGUGGUGAAUAUUCUCCCCGAAGGCAUCACAAAGGCGGAUUACAUGACGCCCGUACGUAUUGAGAACCAUCCCUCCUUCACGUCUGCUAUCCGUCCUGGUGUUAAGCCAAGAAGAGAAUGCUUGACGAUGUUGAUUCUCUGACGAAGACUAUCUUAUUGAUGCGAGGCGCAAAAUUCAUGGUCACUAGAAACAUCUGGGUCUACUAAGGUCUACUAGUGAGUCAGUGGAACAAGUUUACGAGAUUCUUUGGGACGACCCGCCGCUUGACAUAUGGACAUACGUUCGCGCAUUG
RNAcentral lists this small RNA (530 nucleotides) under Cryptococcus neoformans H99. Its description in RNAcentral is "Cryptococcus neoformans var. grubii H99 hypothetical RNA". The record is from RNAcentral. Lineage: Eukaryota; Fungi; Basidiomycota; Tremellomycetes; Tremellales; Cryptococcaceae.